UGGUAGAGAGAGGACUUGCACCUCUGUCUUCGGAGCUACAAACCGCCACCUGCUCGGCCACUCUACC
RNAcentral lists this transfer RNA (67 nucleotides) under Amolops hongkongensis (Hong Kong sucker frog). RNAcentral's name for it is "tRNA-Tyr". The record is from RNAcentral. Lineage: Eukaryota; Metazoa; Chordata; Amphibia; Anura; Ranidae.